RNA transcript from Mustela erminea (ermine), 6959 nucleotides. It is a transcript of the gene named nudix hydrolase 16 like 1, with no coding region annotated. The transcript is spliced from 5 exons. NCBI's taxonomy places the organism in Eukaryota, Metazoa, Chordata, Mammalia, Carnivora, Mustelidae. The record is from RefSeq and is a predicted model, not a curated record.
CCGCUGCAGGAUUCCGAGGAGCCCCAGUGCGCUCUCCUGGAUGCUGCUGCUAGUAUUCUCCAGCCCCAGUGACUUCCUUCUCCAGCAGACCCAGGGUAAGUACUUCAGGCUCGCCUCCUCUGUGAAAGUUGAGAGGUUUUCUGUUGUGGACACUUGGGGAGGAGACAAGGUGGAAAUCUAGGGUGGAAUCCUGGCUCCAGCACCAAUUGCUGAGUGCUCUUAAGGCAAGUCCUGUUCCUCUCUCAAGUUUCUCCUUGGAAAAUGGGGGAAACCCCAUUUGCUCCCGCCGAGCCUGGCAUAUGGUGUCUGACUGGGAGGAUAGGGGAUGCGAGGCGCAGAUUUAAGGUCCUUCUCCCCCAGCAGGCUGGGUCGCGGACUGUGUGUGGUCGCAGACUCUGGGGAUAGCUGGAGCUCAGUCGUGCCGUGUUUUCUUUGCUCUUUGGGGUCCGGCAGAUCGGCACUGACCUUGGAGGGGAGUGCUUGGCUGGCACGCGAGCAGGGAAGGGUCAUGCCUUCAGGUCGCGGGGCUCCGCGGAGAACCCUCCUGGAGGAGGCACCAUCGUGGGGGCUGAGGGCUGCUAGUGUGAAGCCUGCGGGGCGGCGCUCCCAGGGAGGCGCUGAGGAAAGGCAUGGGACAUGGGACUCAUGGCAGGCAGUUGGAGCCCCAGGCCCUGCUCAUCUCGGGAGAGCUCCGCGGGCGCGGUGACUCCUGGGCGUCUUGGGUCUUGAGGGCCGUGGGCGGGGGCGCGUGCAGCCCCUCUCUGCACACGCCCCUUCCGCGCCUCAACGACGCGUCGGAGCGCCGGGAAGGGCUCGGCCCCGAUGGGCGUCGGCAAUUGGUGGAGGGGCGGGUACAGGGGCGGGGCUGUCUGCGGAUUGGUCGGGCCCGGCGGGGGCGGGCCCGCGCAUGCACUUAAGGAACGGCGCCGCGGCCGAGGCGGGGCAGUGCCAAGAUGUCGGCGGCAGUCCCGGAGCUGAAGCAGAUCAGCCGGGUGGAGGCUAUGCGCCUGGGGCCGGGUUGGAGCCACUCGUGCCACGCCAUGCUGUACGCCGCCAACCCCGGGCAGCUCUUCGGCCGCAUCCCUAUGCGCUUCUCGGUGCUGAUGCAGAUGCGCUUCGACGGGCUGCUGGGUUUUCCCGGGGGCUUCGUGGACCGGCGCUUUUGGUCUCUGGAGGACGGUCUGAACCGGGUACUGGGCCUGGGCCUGGGCUGCCUGCGCCUCACGGAGGCUGACUACCUGAGCUCGCACCUGACCGAGGGCCCGCACCGCGUCGUGGCGCACCUGUACGCACGGCAGCUGACGCUGGAGCAGCUGCACGCCGUGGAAAUCAGCGCGGUGCAUUCGCGCGAUCACGGCCUGGAGGUGGGGCCGCCGCCCGGGCCCCGCCCCCCGCCCCGGGGUUUGGCUCUGGCCCCGUGGAAGGCACCGAUGGGUGCUGGGGCUUGUGCGAGUCCCACUUUACACCCAAAAGGACCGAGUCGGUGGCUUUCCCAACUUCCUGAGCAACGCCUUUACCAGCACCGCCAAGUACCAGUUGCUCUUUGCGCUCAAGGUGCUCAACAUGAUGCCGGAAGAGAAGCUGGCUGAGGCUUUGGCAGCUGCCACUGAGAAGCAAAAGAAAGCCCUGGAGAAACUCCUCCCGUCUUCCUCCUGAGCACAGGCUGCAGGCAGCUCCAGGACAUGGCAUAGAAGCACUGGCCAGGUGUACAGAAUGACAGCCGCAGAGCCACCACAGACACGAAGGUCACCACUGGCAGUCUCCUAUGGCCCGAUGUCCAGAAGGACACCUCCGUGAAGCUAACAAAGUUUCCACAGCACCUGCUCGGCCUGGUAAGGAAAGCUGUGCUCUGGCCCAGCCUGAGCGCCUGUUCCGCCUUAGAGCCUCGAUGAAGUGGCCAGCACGUGGGGGCAAAGGCACUUCAUUCUGUAAAUAAAAUACCUGUACCUUGUUCCUCUCUUACUUCCUUGGGGCUUGGGAGUGUGCGUCACUCUUCAGAUCGCUUUUGUGGACUGGAUGGGGCUGGGAGCAAGGGCAGCCGACAGAGGGCUACAGGGCACUGCCAGAGCAGGAGGGGGUCAGCUGGUCCGCCCUGCUCUGCACAUGGUGGUCUCUGUCCUGACAGAGGGGCCUUGGGUCCCAGGGGAAGUUGGGGUCUGAAGUUGGGGUCUCAGCCUGGCUUGCCCCUGGCCUCAGUCUGUCAGUCAGCAGUGUGUGUGGCGUGACCAGGAUGGAGCCGCUCACCAUCAGAGCUUACAUUUUAUUUUCCAGCAAAUGACAUAUGCUGUCCAGGUGCCUAGUCCUCUCCAUGGGGCACCUGUGGUGUACGGGGAUCUGCUCUCUCCCACCGUGGCCCUGUCCACUCUGGGCCUCACCCCCACGUUCUGGCCUACAGGCCCCCGUCCUGCUUCUGUGGGGGCCUCACUCCUCGCACCGGCCCCAGCCCUGUGCUGCUUCUGCUGGCUGCUCGGGAGGCUGGAUCCUCCGGCCCGCUGGGGCCCGGCCCGCCACAGCCGCUUGCUGUCCGCACUCCUGUCUUCCAGGCACACAGCUUCAGGGUGGAUCAGUCACCCAACGUCAGAUUCUGAGAAGGGAAAGGGAAGACUGAAGGGGGAGCUCACCGCUGCCCAGUGCGCCCUGCUCUCGCAGCCCGGGGCCUGGCCGGACGGACACUCACCGUCCCUCCCAGCUAAGGCUCCCGCCAGUUCUCCUUCCCGUUCAGCACUUGCAGCUUCUCCAAGCUCUGGGUCACUGAGCAUAGCACUCGCCCUGAGGAUGGGAGCAAUUAGUUACUGCUUUGCAAGUGUGAGAAGAAGGGGUAUGGGGGGUGGUGCCUAGGACUGCGUCACCAUGAGGGAUAGUGGGCUAGGGCAGGGCUGACCCAGGGGUUGCAGCUAACCAGGCAGGGCUCUCCCUAUUCACCCACUUUUGGCCCCUGGUGUGGGUGAGGCCACUGGCUGCCUUCCCAGAGACGCACCCAUUUCCUGGACUCGAUCCUCCAGUGCUCCUGACAGCUCAGGGAGGCUCAGAGUCUGCAGCGAGGCCUGCCAGCCGCUGGAAUCUGUGGAACAGAGCCAGGUAGGCCUAGGGUCGGUGUGGUCACCGCAGGUCCCGCCUCUGUCCUGAGCUGCUGUGACCAGGGGACCCACUCAGUUGUCGGUUCCUGCAUGACCGCCUUGUUACACCAAAACGUAUUGUCCCACUGUUGCUUCAAAGCACUAAUGGUCAGUCCGGGCCCUGCCCCAGGAAUGAAAGCGUGAGGGUCCCUGGCCUACAGUGAGGUUUUGUCCUGGGGUAGCCCCAGCUGUAGGCUGCAGAAGUCACCUGAGAUCCUGGAUAACACAGAUAGCCAGAGCCCAAGGGCUUUGCCUCCCACCAGGGGGAAGAAAUCGGGGAGAAAGGGUGCCCUCCCUCUAGAGUGUGGGAUGGUACAGAGAAGAGCAGCAGUGAGUGUGAUCACUGCUGGAACAGGUGGUUAACACUGGGCCUAGGGCAGCGUCUGUGUGAUCCGGGGCUGGACACUGUUCUUACCAGCUGUGGGGAGGAGGGCUCUGCCCAGGGGGGACCCUCGGGUGGACACCUCCUGCUUCACUCUGGCUGACAGCUCCGCUUGGCAGGCUCUGUCAGACACAAGACCAGGUGCUGGUGAGGAAGAGGCCUGGCAGUAGUGCCUGGCCCCAGAGAGUGGCAGACACCCCCAUCCCCAAUCUCCCCGUCAGGUGGGGCUCUGCCUUCGUUGCAGGCUCCCAAGGCCCGAGACACAGGCAGAGGAUGCAUUGCACACUGCGUGCAGGCUCUCGGGGCCCUAUGUGCUGCCUGGGUCUGCCCUGCAGAAAGGCAAAGCCAGAAUAACACGGAGGAGGGCAGUGAGUGAUCCCAAGAGACCCUAAAAUCAAGCCCUUGGUUGAAGAAUUUUCAGGCAUCGGUGACUCAGGGUCCAGCCUGGGCCUGGGGACCGCUCAGAUACCCACUCACCGCAGCUGCUCCAAGACAAGCGCGGCAUCCCGGGCGAGGGCCCAGGUCUCCUGCAGCUGGGCGUGCACGUCCUUCCGGGCACCGUCCUGCUCCAGGAGGCAGCUCUCCACCACGGCGCGCAGCUCCUGCUCCUGCGACACCUGGCCCCGCAUGGCCUCCACCUCCUCACAGCGCUGCGGUGGGAGAGGCCACCGUGAGGUGGGACACGGGGUGGGUAAGUGAGCCAGGGGGAUUCGAGGCCAGGGCCACUUGGGCUGGGUCCCCCCAACCCCGGUUCUCUUUCUGCCAUCUCUAUUGGUGCUCAACUCCCGCUCUCCUGGGCUAGAGGAAGGGGAUGCCUGUCUCCAGAUGGAGUCGCCUCUGCUUUGGGUCCCUUCCCUCAAAGGCUGUGGCGUCUGCGCCGGCUGCUCGUCCUCUGCCCUCCCGCUUUAUCUUCUGUGUCCCUCUGAGCUCCAGCCUCUGGGUCUCCUCUUUGGCACAGGAGCGGUAAUGCUUUCUGCUCUUCCUGUCCCGCUGCCUGUCCCGGCUGCUUCUCCCUGCUGACCCUGGGUAAGCGUCCCCACUGCUGGCUCUCCAACUCUGCAGGUGUGUCUGCCCGGCGUCUCCCCCGCUCGCCACCUACCUUGUGCAGCUGGAUGGCGAGCUCCUGCAUCUCUGCUUCGAGCCGGUCAGCAUAGGCCAGUUCUAGGGCAUCGCUGGGGGGACGGGCGCUGCUGUGCCAGCGGGCGAUGGCAGAGGUCAUCUUCCUCUUCGGCCCAAACAAGCUGUAGGGGUGAAGGAGAGAGGUGUACAGAUCUGCGGUGCGUACAGGGGUGCCAUGGACCGUCCUUCCACCAAGACGGUCCCUCCCCUAGGAAAGGUCCCAGCUUUGAAGGGGGAGAGUGGCCCCCAGGAUCCUGGGACAGAUGACAGAAACAAAGGGUUCUCUGAAGUGACCCCGGUUAGGGCUGGCCUCCCCUGCCUGCUUCCUCUCCCUGCCUGGCUGCUGCUUUCACUCAACAGGGAGCUCAGGCCAGCUGGGGCCAGGCCGUGCAUGGUCUCCCACCAACUUGGGAAGCUCUCAGAAGUGGACAGCAAAAGUCCGGAUGCCCUUACCACAGCAGCGGCAGCGGGCCAGCCUGCGGGCCGGAGAGGCCAGCUGGCUGCAGAAGCGAGGCGGCUCGUUCCACCCCAACGCGGGGACGUUGGGAGCUAAGCUAGCCCCUUCGGGCUGGGGGAAACAAGGGGCCCGCGGCCACGAAGGGCCCCUCUGCACUCACGUGAUGCCGAUUUCCUUCAGGUCGCUCUCCGUGAGGGUCAGGAAGAUGCGGAGGUCCACGUCCUGCUCCUCGAACACCUGCAGGUACUUCCGACACCCGAUCUGAUCCAGCAGCGUGGCGAGGUCCUGGGGGGCAAAGGAGCCAGGGUGGGUCAGAGGACGGGUGGGGCCCCGAGACUUGAGGGCCUACUAAUGCACUGCUGCAGCACAGAGCCCUUCCUGGCAAGCGUGCCUUCCUGACAUGGGUGUAAGUCUGUCAGUUCCCCAGUGGGAUGGUACUGCCUCGCCAGGAGCUCCAGCCCCCUUUCCCCUCCCCCACCAGUACCACCAGGCAGAGUAGGCUGUCCAGACCACCUCAGCCUGGACAGCCUUAGUGUUGCUUGGAGGGUGGGUCCAGUAGCAACAAACUCUUAGUCUGUUUCCUUGCGACUGUCUUAAUUUCUCCUUCGCUUGUGAAGGAUAGUUUUUGCUUGGAUAUAGCAUUUCUGCUUGAGGUUUUUGUUUUUGUUUUGUUUUGUUUUUUCUUAUUACUUUGACUAGGUCAUCAGAUGUCUUCUGGUUUCUGAUGGGAAAUUAGUGGGUAAUCUUAGGAGAGUUCCUUUUGUGUAAGAGACUCACUUCUGUCUUGUUCCCUUCAAAAUUCUCCUUUUGCUUCUGGGCAGUUUCAUUACUUAAGGUCUAGCUAUGGAUCGGAGUUCAGCCCACUUAGGGCUCACGCAGCCUCCCUCCCUGCACUGGCUGUCUUCCUGUGGAGGCUCUGGAGACGGAAUUCUCCCUCUCCGCAGUCUGUCGCUGCUGCUUGGUGCAGACAUUAUUUAGUGCCUUUUCUGUAAAGUCUGUGCUCCUUCUCUCAUGUGGCCAUAGAAGUCUCUCCUUGGCUAGCGUAGUGGUCAGCUAAGGACUGGACAGAUUUCCUUAAGCAUCAGAGACGAAUCAGUCUCCCCCCUUUGCUGCAUAGCUCUGUAGGCUUGGAACACAGCUUCAAUACCCAGCUGGGCAGAUGACAGUCCUCCCCUAGCCUUCCCUUCCAGCCAUCAGAUGCAUUCUCACAUCUUUCCCGGCCAUACACGGAGCACAUCCCUGAGCAUGUCUGUGGCCUCCCAGAUCCCUAGGACUCUGUCAGAGCUCUACAAAGCUCCUGUGGACAUCUCAUUCCCUACCUUUCCUUUUCAGCUUUGUGAUUAAUCUUCUUUGCCCCAACUAUUAUCCAGCACCUCAGGUAGCUGCAAAGUUAAAACACGUGCCUAUAAUUAUUUUCAGCACACUUUCUGCCAGGAGAGGGCUUCUGCAUUGGGUAGACAAGGUGCCAGUGAAGUCAGAUACAGUUCUGUAAGCUAGGGAGUCGUCCCAUGCAGCCAAAAAUGCUGACUCUUUCAGAAAGAAACCCUGGGGAGCCCCUGGCGUGGCUGUCACAGUGACCCGAGCCCUGCGGAGGGAGCGUGGGGCGCAGGCACAUCAGCUGCUUCUCCUGAAUCAACAUUUCCAAAUUGCUCCAAGCUUCUGGGUGAUUCAGAGUUUUGAAAAAAGUUAUUCUGACUACCUCUGCCAGUUUAUUGCCUUUGAUGGAGGAGCCAUCUUUCAAAGGAAUUGAAAGAUGUAGCUGUUCACUGAGCCCGGAAACAAGGCCCCGGAGAGAGCUCCCUGGAGGGGCCACACAGAGAAGCCGGCGAAACUGCGGCUUCCAGUGAACAGCAGAGCUGUGACCUUAAUAAAUGGUGAAAAUGUA